GUUCUGGUGGUCUAGGGGUAUGAUUCAUCCUUAGGGAGAUACACAGUCAUCUGUGAGCUCCAGAUGGAUGAGGUCCCGCGUUCGAAUCGCGGCCAGAACC
Non-coding RNA from Gnomoniopsis smithogilvyi, 100 nucleotides. NCBI's taxonomy places the organism in Eukaryota, Fungi, Ascomycota, Sordariomycetes, Diaporthales, Gnomoniaceae. The record is from the annotation of a GenBank genome assembly.